GGUGAAAAAUUUGAUAUUCUGAAGUCGUCCAAACAAUACAAUGCAAAAUGGCUCCAUAGCGCCCCCUAAGGUGAAAAAUUCACCUGACGCCUGUACGCUUUGUCAAAAUGACACAAAAAUUGACACACACAUGUAUCUCAAUAAGAUCUACAAAAAAGUCAGUGCGGGCGUAUCUGUCAAAUGUACGGUUAAAGGGUUAUUGCGCAUUUUUUGCCGAUCCGCACACAUUGGAAUUUCGCUAACUCCUCCGAAGGCUUUCGUUCCACCGGCACCACAUUUGCUCAGGCCAAUCUACACCCCAUGGCCAUUAAAAGUUAUUCAAAUCAUGACGCUGCACCCCACGGUUUAGGUUCUAGGGGGCGCCAAAGAUAACCCUAAAAUCCACAUAUUUCAAAGUCUUAUAACUUUUUAUUUUUGCCCUCACUGGCCUCCAAGUUUUCUAGGAUGAUGCAAUGUCCAGCCAUCAACACAUUUGUGAAGGAAUUUUUACUCCCCAAAAGAGCGCCCCCCCAUGGCAGGAGAAAAAAGUCCAUUUUUUCUUGUCCCAUAAGGUGAAAAUUCACACUAUUGACUGUCACGCCUG
Molecule: long non-coding RNA, 583 nt
Filed under: Xyrichtys novacula (pearly razorfish)
Lineage: Eukaryota; Metazoa; Chordata; Actinopteri; Labriformes; Labridae
Source: RNAcentral